Molecule: long non-coding RNA, 228 nt
Filed under: Lathyrus oleraceus (garden pea)
Lineage: Eukaryota; Viridiplantae; Streptophyta; Magnoliopsida; Fabales; Fabaceae
Description: Pisum sativum (pea) long non-coding RNA (PSAT_LNC010568)
Source: RNAcentral
AUAUGGGGUGUAACCGAGUUGGAACUCGAUGAGAUCACGGGUUUCACAUUGCCAUUAGGAUAGAUUUUUCCUUUUGAGCGCAAUUACCUCUUUUCAGGAAUUGCUUCCUUUUGUAUUGCUCAAUUUGAGCCACACACUUUUCAAAUCAAUAAAAUGCAUAUUCAGUCAAAUAAUUUUGUUUUUGUUUUUCAUUACCGCUUUGAUUGCAAAAACAUCCGGAUAUUUUUG